UACGGAGGGUGCGAGCGUUAUCCGGAAUUACUGGGUUUAAAGGGUGCGUAGGCGGCGCAGUAAGUCAGGAGUGAAAGUUUGCGGCUCAACCGUAAAAUUGCUUUUGAUACUGCCAGGCUAGAAUCAGGAUGAGGUCAGCGGAAUGUGGCAUGUAGCGGUGAAAUGCAUAGAUAUGACAUAGAACACCGAUAGCGAAGGCAGCUUGCUACACGAUCAUUGACACUGAGGCACGAAAGCGUGGGGAGCAAACAGG
Molecule: ribosomal RNA, 253 nt
Filed under: uncultured bacterium
Lineage: Bacteria
Description: partial 16S ribosomal RNA
Rfam family: Bacterial small subunit ribosomal RNA
Source: RNAcentral